UGAAUUAAGUAAUCUUGGUCCGUAUAC
This 27-nucleotide non-coding RNA is filed under the name Bombyx mori (domestic silkworm). The record is from RNAcentral. Lineage: Eukaryota; Metazoa; Arthropoda; Insecta; Lepidoptera; Bombycidae.